CUACGGAGGGUGCAAGCGUUACUCGGAAUCACUGGGCGUAAAGCGCGCGCAGGCGGCUAUUUAAGUUGGAUGUGAAAGCCUACGGCUCAACCGUAGAACUGCAUCCAAAACUAUUUAGCUAGAGUGUGGGAGAGGAAGAUGGAAUUAGUUGUGUAGGGGUAAAAUCCGUAGAGAUAACUAGGAAUACCAAAAGCGAAGGCGAUCUUCUGGAACAGUACUGACGCUGAGGCGCGAAAGCGUGGGGAGCAAACAGGAUUAGAUACCCGAGUAGUCC
Molecule: ribosomal RNA, 274 nt
Filed under: uncultured bacterium
Lineage: Bacteria
Description: partial 16S ribosomal RNA
Rfam family: Bacterial small subunit ribosomal RNA
Source: RNAcentral